CGAGGACGAACGCUGGCGGCGUGCCUAACACAUGCAAGUCGAACGGAGAUACGAUUUCGGUUGUAUCUUAGUGGCGAACGGGUGAGUAACGCGUGAGCAACCUGACCUUUAGAGGGGGAUAACACUUGGAAACAGGUGCUAAUACCGCAUAAGACCACGACCCGACAUCGGGAUGAGGUCAAAGGAGUAAUCCGCUAGAGGAGGGGCUCGCGUCCCAUUAGAUAGAUGGCGGGGUAACGGCCCACCAUGUCGACGAUGGGUAGCCGAGCUGAGAGGCUGAUCGGCCACACUGGAACUGAGACACGGUCCAGACUCCUACGGGAGGCAGCAGGUGGGGAAUAUUGGGCAAUGGGCCGCAAGCCUGACCCAGCAACGCCGCGUGAGGGAAGAAGGCCUUCGGGUUGUAAACCUCUGUCCUUGGUGACGAAAAAAUGACGGUAGCCAAGGAGGAAGCCCCGGCUAACUACGUG
This 470-nucleotide ribosomal RNA is filed under the name uncultured bacterium. RNAcentral's name for it is "bacterial SSU rRNA". It matches the Rfam family "Bacterial small subunit ribosomal RNA", at positions 26 to 507 of the family's 1533-position model. The record is from RNAcentral.